GCGGCCAUAGUUCAGCGGUUAGAACGCCAGAUUGUGGUUCUGGAUGUCGUGGGUUCGAUUCCCACUGGCCGCCCCA
RNAcentral lists this transfer RNA (76 nucleotides) under Pseudomonadota bacterium. RNAcentral's name for it is "tRNA-His". It matches the Rfam family "tRNA". Rfam says of the family: Transfer RNA (tRNA) molecules are approximately 80 nucleotides in length. RNAcentral also lists the same sequence under 3 other names. The record is from RNAcentral. Lineage: Bacteria; Pseudomonadati; Pseudomonadota.